Molecule: ribosomal RNA, 569 nt
Filed under: uncultured Gammaproteobacteria bacterium
Lineage: Bacteria; Pseudomonadati; Pseudomonadota; Gammaproteobacteria
Description: bacterial SSU rRNA
Rfam family: Bacterial small subunit ribosomal RNA
Source: RNAcentral
UCGAUUUGGAGUUUGUUGCCUUGAGUGAUGGGCUCCGAAGCUAACGCGAUAAAUCGACCGCCUGGGGAGUACGGCCGCAAGGUUAAAACUCAAAUGAAUUGACGGGGGCCCGCACAAGCGGUGGAGCAUGUGGUUUAAUUCGAUGCAACGCGAAGAACCUUACCUGGUCUUGACAUCCACAGAAUCUUGCAGAGAUGCGGGAGUGCCUUCGGGAACUGUGAGACAGGUGCUGCAUGGCUGUCGUCAGCUCGUGUUGUGAAAUGUUGGGUUAAGUCCCGCAACGAGCGCAACCCUUAUCCUUUGUUGCCAUCGGUUAGGCCGGGAACUCAAAGGAGACUGCCGUUGAUAAAGCGGAGGAAGGUGGGGACGACGUCAAGUCAUCAUGGCCCUUACGACCAGGGCUACACACGUGCUACAAUGGCGUAUACAAAGGGAGGCGACCUCGCGAGAGCAAGCGGACCUCAUAAAGUACGUCUAAGUCCGGAUUGGAGUCUGCAACUCGACUCCAUGAAGUCGGAAUCGCUAGUAAUCGUGAAUCAGAAUGUCACGGUGAAUACGUUCCCGGGCCU